UGAAUCUGAUAAAAGACCUGCUACAAUAGUACCUGUGGACUUUCUCCUCUCCACACCCAUUUAUGAAUGAUUGAAUAUAGCAAUAUGGGCCACAAAAAGUUAAACUGAGAAAGAACCAGAGACUCCUGGAGUUCGGGGAAUAACUUUUGCAAGACAGAGCGGUGGCAGUGGGCGUCCAACCCAGUCUCCCAGUUAUACCAUGCUCUUUUCCUCCCAUCUAAUCUUGUACCCAAAGUCUGUUGGGGUUGGGGGAUAGGGAAAACAUUUUUAAAAAUGAAGAAUUAACUUGUCACUGAAUUCCUUUGCUAGAAUUCGAUGAAAGUAAAACAGAAUAAAUAAA
This is a long non-coding RNA of Marmota flaviventris (yellow-bellied marmot), 340 nucleotides long. RefSeq lists it as uncharacterized. NCBI's taxonomy places the organism in Eukaryota, Metazoa, Chordata, Mammalia, Rodentia, Sciuridae. The record is from RefSeq and is a predicted model, not a curated record.